CCCCAACUUCUUUGCAAAAAAAAAAAUGAAGAAGAAGGAAAAACAGAGAGAAAAAAACAGCCCCCGCUUCCAUGGCCGCUAUCCAACCCUUGAGCCCUUUCUCUAGAAGUUCCAAAUUCGUGGGCUCGGAUUCAACUAUCGUCCCUGCCCGAAUCCUGCCCAGACCCCGGGGAGUCACUCGUAGUGCCAUGGCGUCGCCUACCGGCAGCAGCCGCUCCUCCAAAAUCCCGGAGUUCCUGGCGGGUUCCGGCGGCCGGCCGGUGCCGGCCCUGGGGAUCGGCACGGCGUCGUUCCCGUUCGUGGCAGAGGACGUCAAGAACGCCGUGCUCGCCGCGUUGGAGCUCGGCUACCGCCACCUCGACACAGCCUCGGUUUACCCCUCCGAGCACCUCGUCGGCGAGGCAGUGGCGGAGGCGGGGCGGCGCGGGGUCAUAGCGUCCCGCGAGGAGGUGUUCGUGACGACCAAGGUGUGGUGCACGCAAUGCCACCCGGAUCUCGUGCUCCCUUCCCUCAAGGAAAGCUUGCAAAACCUUCAAAUGGAAUAUGUUGAUUUGUACUUGGUCCACUGGCCUAUGAGCGUAAAGCCCAGCAAACCACACUUCCCAAUGAAAAGGGAAGACAUCGUCCAGAUGGACUUGAAAGGCGUAUGGCAGGCAAUGGAGGAAUGUCAUCGCCUUGGCCUUGCUAAGAUGAUUGGCGUUAGCAAUUUCACAACGAAGAAAUUGCAGGAGCUACUUGCAAUUGCAGAAAUCCCCCCAGCAGUGAAUCAGGUUGAGUUGAAUCCAGCUUGGCAGCAGAAAAAACUGAUUGAAUUCUGCAAAGAGAAGGGAAUUCAUGUGACUGCUUAUUCUCCCCUGGGAGGCCAAAGCAGGACAUCCAAAGUCAAUGCAGUGCUACAGUCUGAAAUUCUGAAAGAGAUUGCCGAAGCUAGAGGAAAAUCAGUAGCUCAGAUCUCACUGAGAUGGAUCUUCGAGCAAGGAGCGAGCAUGGUAGCCAAGAGCAUGAAAAAGGAGAGGCUUCAGGAGAACCUCGAAAUCUUUGACUGGGAACUGACCGACGAAGACCGGUUCAAGAUUACUCGGAUACCGCAGUACAAGAAGGUCACAGUGCUGGCGAUCCUCUGCCCUGAAGGUGUCCCUGGCGUUGAUCUUUCGGAGGUUGAUGUUGUUGAAACGUAGGUGUCAUAUUGUGAAGAUGCAUGCGCCAUUUAAACCUGUAAUUUGGUGAAGAUGCAUGCGCCAUUUAUGCACUCCAAAUUACAAGGAUUUGGUGAGAUGCUUCUGGUGCUACUACCUGUGACCUACCUGGAUGAGGUUCUGCUUGGCAUCAUCAAUUGUGAUGAUCCUGACGGGUUCCCUACAGGCUACAGUGCUGGUGGGUAGCCGUCAGUCGUCACUCACAGUGUCACACAUGGACUUGGCCACAGGCCACAGCCACUUUGGUUGGCUGAUCUUUCCUUGUCUCGCGCCAGCAUCUUCUUCUCUUCUCUCGAGGAAAAAUGAAAGACUAGCACCAGUUGCUCCUAGAAAAUCGACGAAUUUUUCUCAAGCUCGGAUGGAUACUAGAAGGCUCUUGUUUGUUUGACAGGCAAGCCAAACUUCUUCUGGCGGGCGCGACAAGUCAACAACUGAGGCGGGUCUUGGCUACGAGACGGAUGUAUGGCAGACAUGUGGGCCUCAGAGUUUUUUUUUGUGCGUGAGAGAAGACCGGGCCUCAGAAUUUACUUCGAAAGUACGGCGGAGAACGAAACGUAUGGUACAGAAAUUGUCUAGCUCAACAUUGUGCAUGCAUUGUGGUGGUUAGUUCACAACUGCCUCCGCCGCACAAGGAUCCUGUUUCAUUCCAGAAACUAUUGAUGCCCGCCGGAAGAGCCAAAACCCACCUCUCUGUCUUUGAAAAACGGAAGAGCGGCUACGUAAGUACUUAUGUCACUCCGGCCAGUAUAAAAGCCGGUGGCUCGUCACACGCGCGUCCUGUGCUUGAACCACAAGACAAGCUCGAUCACGAUUCACGCGCCGCGCGUUGUCAGUGCGAAGCAGCUGUUGUGCGCUCUGCAGAGACGACCCAUGGCCUCGAGAACAGCGGCGGUGCCGGAGGUGGCCCUGCGGUCCGGCGACGCGAGGCCCAUGCCGGCCAUCGGCAUGGGCACCGCCCAGUCCCCGGUGGUGCCGGACACCACCGUGAAGGCCGUGCUGGAGGCCGUGGAGGUGGGCUACCGCCACUUCGACACGGCCUCCAUGUACGCGACGGAGCGGCCCCUGGGCGAGGCCCUCGCGGAGGCGGUGCGCCGCGGGCUCCUGGCGUCCCGGGAGGAGGUGUUCGUCACGUCCAAGCUCUGGUGCACGCAGUGCCACCCGCACCUCGUGCUCCCGUCCCUCCAGGAGAGCCUCCAGAACCUGCAGAUGGAGUACGUGGACCUGUAUCUGAUCCACUGGCCGAUCAGCCUGAAGCCCGGGCCCGUGGUGUUCCCGGUGAAGCGGGAGGACGCCGUCCCGUUCGACUUGGAGGGCGUGUGGCGGGCGAUGGAGGAGUGCCACCGCCUCGGGCUCGCCAAGGCCAUCGGCGUCAGCAACUUCACCACCAGGCACCUCGACAAGCUCCUGCCGGCCGCCACCGUCCCUCCUGCAGUCAACCAGGUGGAGAUGAACCCGGUCUGGCAGCAGAGGAAGCUGAGGGAGUACUGCGCGGAGAAGGGCAUCCACGUCGCGGCCUACUCGCCGUUGGGAGGGCAGAACUGGUCGGGCGACGGCAACGCCGUGCUGGACUCCGAGGUGCUCGCGGAGAUCGCCAAGGCAAGAGGAAAGAGCGUCGCACAGGUAGCGCUGAGAUGGAUCUACGAGCAAGGGGUGACCCCGAUCGUCAAGAGCUUCAGCAAGGAGAGGCUCAAGGAGAACCUUGGGAUCUUCGACUGGGGGCUCACCGACGACGACCUGCGCAAGAUCGGCCAGAUUCCGCAGAAGAAGAUCGUUAAAGCUGAAACCGUGCUGUUCUCGGCAGAGGGCGAGUUCACGUCGGCUGACCUCGCAGACAUGGAAAUUGUCGAGGAUUAAAAUAGGCACCGAGAAUGCCUGCUUCGCUGUGUGGCGUAAACUGCAGUAGCUUACUUAAAGAGUGGGGAUGAAUAAAUAAGUAAUCGGUGCUAUAUCCCGUUAUUCCUCUUUUCGGAUUCAAGUUGUCAGUGAAGACCGUGAUCACCGUUGCCAUCGCUCGGAAGUAUUCCCUAAUUUGAACUGCAAAAACGGCUUAUAUUAGUGUACUAGACAUAGUAUGUUGUGCUGCAACCGAGGUUCCAUACGGC
RNAcentral lists this ribosomal RNA (3298 nucleotides) under Triticum aestivum (bread wheat). RNAcentral describes it as "partial small subunit ribosomal RNA". The record is from RNAcentral. Lineage: Eukaryota; Viridiplantae; Streptophyta; Magnoliopsida; Poales; Poaceae.